UUUUUCUAUUUGGACACCUGGACAUGGAUGUCCGCUUCCCUGGGAGUACCAGUUACACCCUUUCCAAGUUGUCUGGGGUGCUGGCUGGCCUGGUGCUGAUGUAACUGAAUCAAGGAAAGAUGAGGCUGGUCUGUGGGUGCUGAACAAGCUGCAAACUGAGAUCAACUGUCUCUCCUGGAAAGAAGUGCUGCUGCCAGGGUGAAGAAGCAAAGCUUGGUGAUGUGGAUAAGGCAGCAUCCUUCCUUCUCAGGUCUUCUAGUCUCCCUCCAGAACUCCCAGCAAAGCAGAAAUGUGGUGGGCAGCAUCCCACCUCCAACAUCACAAAGCGGAGUAUGAAAGGGAGAAAGUGAAAGAGG
Molecule: long non-coding RNA, 356 nt
Filed under: Homo sapiens (human)
Lineage: Eukaryota; Metazoa; Chordata; Mammalia; Primates; Hominidae
Description: HSALNT0211749
Source: RNAcentral